AGGUUAUAUAUAUGCACCAGAACAUAUCUGUGGAUGUAUUUCAUAUAAACAACCAACAAACUCAAUUGAAUAUUUAUGGAUGAGAAAGCAUCGAUACCGGCAAUAUAUUUACAUUAUAAACGCAUUAAUAAAAAAAAUGCUGUUGUGUAUAACUGUUCAGAAUAUUCCCACCCCUUUAUGAAUUAUGAUGUCUAUAUUUUAAGGAACUGAUCUAAUGACGACUCAGAUAUUAAACGAUUUUAAAUUUUAUGAGAUCAUACAGUACUCAUAAGCAGAGUUAAGCUUAUAAAAGAUCAAUUUCGGAUUCAUGCUUUUUGGAAAGUUACAAUAAUUAUAAAAUUAAUGACCAGAUUUAGCUGACAUUUUAGGAGAUUGACAGCUAUGGAGCUUAUGUGCGAAACUGAAUUUCACACAAAAGACCAGUAAAUGCAGUUCAGUGUUUAUGAAGAGAUAAUGCGGAUAUGUACAAUGAACUAAUCGUAAUCGUAUUGCAAAUGUUGAGAAUGAGUAGUUCUCUAAUUGAUAUUUAAGUGAACGAAAUUUUCAAUUGGUGAAAUACUGGCUAAUCUAUAUUUAUACGCACUUAUAACAACUUCAAAUCUUCUAGAAGUAUUAGUAUGCAAGAAGCACUUAUAAGGACAACUUUAAAUCUUCUAGAAGUAUUAGUAUGCAAGAAGAUUAAUAUGUAAAUUAUUAAAACGGUUUUAUAAAAGUUCAUUUAAAAUGAAUUGUCGGAUACCACGGAUGUUGAAAUAGAUCUAUGACAAUGAUGAUGAAGAUGCAUUACUUUCUACACAGUUGGCAUGCGUGAUUGGAUACAUCAAAAACAAAUGCCACACACAUUCUAAAUUUAGUACAAAGGAGGAUAUAUAGUAAACAUUUUUUCAAUAUAAUUCUUUUUUUCAGGUUUCUUAA
Long non-coding RNA from Teleopsis dalmanni, 915 nucleotides. RefSeq lists it as uncharacterized. The transcript is spliced from 9 exons. The record is from RefSeq and is a predicted model, not a curated record. Lineage: Eukaryota; Metazoa; Arthropoda; Insecta; Diptera; Diopsidae.